This 433-nucleotide ribosomal RNA is filed under the name uncultured bacterium. RNAcentral's name for it is "bacterial SSU rRNA". It matches the Rfam family "Bacterial small subunit ribosomal RNA", at positions 355 to 786 of the family's 1533-position model. The record is from RNAcentral.
UGAGGAAUAUUGGUCAAUGGUCGGGAGACUGAACCAGCCAAGCCGCGUGAGGGAUGAAGGUACAGAGUAUCGUAAACCUCUUUUGUCAGGGAACAAAAGGCGCCACGUGUGGCGCUCCGAGUGUACCUGAAGAAAAAGCAUCCGCUAACUCCGUGCCAGCAGCCGCGGUAAUACGGAGGAUGCGAGCGUUAUCCGGAUUUAUUGGGUUUAAAGGGUGCGUAGGCGGCGAGUUAAGUCAGCGGUAAAAGCCCGGGGCUCAACCCCGGCCCGCCGUUGAAACUGGCUUGCUUGAGUUGGAGAGAAGUAGGCGGAAUGCGCGGUGUAGCGGUGAAAUGCUUAGAUAUCGCGCAGAACUCCGAUUGCGAAGGCAGCCUACCGGCUCCACACUGACGCUGAGGCACGAAAGCGUGGGUAUCGAACAGGAUUAGAUACC